GCUUGUUAUCUGGCUACCCACCCACAAACCCAAAACCCUAGCUAGUUCAUGGCAUCCACCGAUAAGCCUGACCCAGAAGCCGCCACCAAGUCUGAGGUGUCACCCCUGCCACCUCCUCCUCCUAAGCGUGUCGACUAUUUUGCCAUUGAUGUUGGUCUUAGGGUCUUAUUGUUUGCUGCCACCCUAACUGCGCUCGUGGUCAUGUCCACUGCCAAGCAAACGGAGUUGGCUUCUGUGCCAGGAUCACCUGUCAGAGUGCCUGUUAAAGCCAAAUUCAAUCACUCGCCGGCCUUCAUAUACUUUGUUGCAGCAUUAUCUGUUGCCUGCCUGUACAGUAUCAUCACAACGCUUGCAUCCCUCGGAGUCAUUGCUAAGCCAACUUAUGCAACAACAUUCUUGCUUUAUUAUGUAUUUUGGGACGUGUUGAUGCUGGGAAUAGUAGCGGCGGCUACGGGGGCGGCUGGAGGAGUAGCGUAUAUUGGUUUGAGGGGGAACAAACAUACAGGCUGGGUGAAGGUGUGCCCUGUUUAUGACAAAUUCUGCAGACAUCUGGGAAGCUCCAUACCGAUCGCAUUAUUCGCUUCAGUUCUUCUGGUUCUGCUCAUUAUGCUUUCAGUCUUCUCUCUUCAUAGUCGGAUCCGUGAGUAGAGACAUGCUUUACAAAGUCUAAAAUCUGAAUUAUUCGUUGCCACCUCAAUUGUGUCUGUGUGUGAAAUGUUGUACCUUUUAUGUAGUUUUGUGUCUUGUGCAUAGCUGGAAGUCUAGUUUGUAAAGCCCAAAUCUUGUACACUGGUGUAAUUCUGUUUCUAAUGUUAAGCUUUUAUUUA
RNAcentral lists this unclassified non-coding RNA (827 nucleotides) under Hevea brasiliensis (rubber tree). Lineage: Eukaryota; Viridiplantae; Streptophyta; Magnoliopsida; Malpighiales; Euphorbiaceae. The record is from RNAcentral.